RNAcentral lists this ribosomal RNA (506 nucleotides) under uncultured bacterium. RNAcentral's name for it is "partial 16S ribosomal RNA". It matches the Rfam family "Bacterial small subunit ribosomal RNA", at positions 29 to 523 of the family's 1533-position model. The record is from RNAcentral.
AGUGAACGCUGGCGGUAGGCCUAACACAUGCAAGUCGAACGGCAGCACAGGAGAGCUUGCUCUCUGGGUGGCGAGUGGCGGACGGGUGAGGAAUACAUCGGAAUCUACUCUGUCGUGGGGGAUAACGUAGGGAAACUUACGCUAAUACCGCAUACGACCUACGGGUGAAAGCAGGGGAUCUUCGGACCUUGCGCGAUUGAAUGAGCCGAUGCCGGAUUAGCUAGUGGGCGGGGUAAAGGCCCACCAAGGCGACGAUCCGUAGCUGGUCUGAGAGGAUGAUCAGCCACACUGGAACUGAGACACGGUCCAGACUCCUACGGGAGGCAGCAGUGGGGAAUAUUGGACAAUGGGCGCAAGCCUGAUCCAGCCAUACCGCGUGGGUGAAGAAGGCCUUCGGGUUGUAAAGCCCUUUUGUUGGGAAAGAAAUCCAGCUGGCUAAUACCCGGUUGGGAUGACGGUACCCAAAGAAUAAGCACCGGCUAACUUCGUGCCAGCCGCCGCCGUAA